Long non-coding RNA from Phyllopteryx taeniolatus (common seadragon), 7970 nucleotides. RefSeq lists it as uncharacterized. The transcript is spliced from 2 exons. The record is from RefSeq and is a predicted model, not a curated record. NCBI's taxonomy places the organism in Eukaryota, Metazoa, Chordata, Actinopteri, Syngnathiformes, Syngnathidae.
CCAGGUUUCGAGACACUUCAAGCUCUUCUGGCCUGGGUUGGGAGUCUUCAUUCACAGCAUCAGCCUAUUUUGUUCAACCUCUGCCUCCCGCCCUUGUGGUUCGCAGCUGUCUGCCGCAGCUGAAGGGUCAACAGCCACCCAUCUCCACGCGCACAUCUCAUGAAUAGAAAUGUCUCAUACUGCCAGACAAAAUGGACUGCAAAAGUGAAGUUCAUUUCAAUAUUUUGAUUGCCUUGUAUUCAGAUCUGACCUAGAGUAUAUGUUCCCCCCCAUCUUUGCAAUGGCAACUAUGCAGGGUAUCCAUCUUGAAUUAGAUUUCCCAUCAUUAUUUUCCCAAAUAUACUUAAGUUCACUGUUCAAAAGGUCUUUAAUCAAAUGACACACAGCUUAAAGUGGAUAUAAAGUCUACAAACCCCUGUUCAAAUGCCAGGUUUUUGUGAUAUAAAAAUGGGAGCUAUACAACUCAAUUGAAUCUUUAAAAAACAAAAAUGAAAUCAAUUUAAAUAAAAUGUAUGUCUUCUUAAAAAAAUCUUUUCGAGAGGGAAAGUUAAAGAAAACAGAAAUACUGUAGUUGAACAAGUAUAUAUACCUCUCUUACAAAUGGAAUGUGGCUAGAUUCAGAAUUAACUAAUUACAUUCAAACUUGCUAAAUGGGAUUUAGCAACUGCCUGCCACAAUUUAAAGUGCUUCCGAUUAACCCCAAAUUAAGUUCAGAUGUUCCAGUAGGCUUUUCCUGCCAUGAGUUUUGCUUUCUAGCAGAAGCCUGAAAGUUUUGCGCUGAUGCUGAUUUGAUUAUUUAGACUAUACACAUAAUUCCUUGCCCCUUGUCUAAGGCUCCAUUUCCAACUGAAGAACAGCCCCAAAGCAUGAUUCUGCCACCACCAUGCUUCACUGUGGGUAUGGUGUUCUUUUGGCGACGAGCGGUAUUGUUAGCACCAUGCAUACCUUUUAGAAUGAGGGCCAAAAGGUUCAGCUUUGGCUUCAUUGGACUAUCACGCAUUUUCUGGCGUGUGUGGGAAAUUUUGUUACGGUACGUACAGUGCUGUGAAAAAGUAUUGUCCCCUCUUCUCAAAUUGUUAUAUUUUUGCAUAGUUUCCCCCACUUUAAUGUUUAAGAUGAUCAAAAAAAGUUUGAAUAUCAGACAAAAUAACACAAGUGGACUUAAAAUGCUGUUUUUAAACAGUGAUUUCAUUUAUUAAGGAACAAAAAUUCAAAAGUUACCUGGCCCUGUGUGAAAAGUAAUGGCCCCCAAAACCUAAUGACUGGUUGGGCCAUCCUCUGCAGCAACAGCAUUUUCUAUAGCUGCCAAUGAGUCUUUCACAUCUCUGUAGAGAUAUUUUGGCCCACUCAUCCUUGCAUAAUUGUUUGAAUUAAGCCAAAAUUCAGGUUUUCUUUUAGCAUGAACGGCCUUUUUAAGGUCAUGCCACUGCAUUUCAAUCUGAUUGAAGUCCGGAGUUUGACGAAGUCAGUCCUAAACCUUCCUUUUGUUUUUUUAAGCCAUUCAUAAGUUGACUUGCUGGUGUGUUUUGGAUCAUUAUCUUGCUGCAGAACCCAAGUGCGCUUCCGCUUGAAGUCACAAACUGAUGGCUGAACAUUCUCCUUCAGGAUUUUCUAGUUGAUACCGUUUCUGUUUCUAACAUUCUCCUUCAGGAUUUUCUGUUAAAGAGGAGAAUUCAUGGUUUAUCAAUUACAGCCAGUUGUCCAGGUCCUGAAGGAGAAAAGCAGCCCAGUACAUCACACUAGCACCACCAUGUUUGACUGUUGGUGUGAUGUUCUUUUUCUGAAAUGCUGUGCUACAUUUACACCAAAUGUAACGAGACGCACACCUUCCAAAAACCUCAACUUUCGUCUUGUCAGUCCAUAUAAUAUUAUCCCAAAAAUAUUGGGAAUCAUUCAAUGUUUUUUGAGAAAGUAAGACAAGCCUUUAUGUUCUUUUUGGCCAGCCGUGGUUUUUGCCUUUGAACUCUGCCAUUUUUGCCCAGUCUUUUCCUUAUUGUCGCGUCAUGAACCCUGACUUCAACUGAGGCAAGGGAAGCCUGCAGCUCUUUAGAAGUUGAGUUUCUCUGAGUUUCUUUGUGGCCUCCUUGAUGAGUCAUUGCUGUUCUCUUGGGAUAAUCUUUGUAUGCCCGCCACUCCUGUGAAGUCGCCACUGUUCCAUGUUUUCGCCAUAUUUGUGAGGAUAAUGGAUCUCCCUAUGGUUUGCUGGAAUCCUAAAGCUUUAGAAAUGGCUUUUUCUUGACUGUUCGGGUAUUUCUUUGGAUCGUGUCAUUUUGUUGCAGCUUUUUUACAUCUUUUGUCUGAUUUUGUCUGGACAGAUUCUGUUUAAGUGAUUUCUUGAUUGAACAAGUUUGGAGGUAAUCAAGCCUGCGUGUGAUCAGUGAAAAUUAACCAAAUGUUGUGAUUAAGCACAAUUAAUUAAUGAUUUAACAAGGGAGGUAAUUACUUUUUCACACAGGGCCAGAUAACUGAAAAGUUUUUUCCUUAAUGAAAUCACCAUUUAAAAACAGCAUUUUCAGUUCCCUUGAGUUAUAUUUGUUUGAUGAUCUUAAGCAUUAAAGUGGGGAAAAAUCUAAGAAUUUGAGAAGGGGGGCAAUACUUUUUCACGGCACUGUACUGUAUGUACCGUAUAUUGGCCACACUCAAGGUGGGAAAAGUUUUGGAAUGAUUUAUCUUGAUCUCAUUUUACUAUAUUGCAAAAAAAAAAACUGACAGUUUUUGAACAGGGGUGUGAAGAGUUUCAUUUUGUGGAGUGUAAGGUAGAUUUAGGUAGUUUGCAUUAAUACAUGCUGCUACCUUGGAGCUGCAAUCAUUCUAAAAAUAUCAAAAUAGUUAUUUUUGUGAUAUAAUUUUAAGGCCUCAUAGACCACUGCUUGUGGUCAUAUUUAGUGGAUGAGUGGUCUUAAUUUUGAUAUUGAUCCAAAAAAGAGUUACCUAAUAUAAAGUGAAAUUAAAGUCUUGCAUUUCCCUUCCUUGAAGAUGCAGAUUCCAUAUCUAUAAUAAAUUUAUGCUUUCAUCAUUCCCAUUAAAUAGAAUUAAUGUGUCUGCCUUUUUCCAUGUCAUCAUCUUGAAUAUCACUGUAGCUACAAUGCAGUCAGUGUCCCUUAACCUUGCUGUUAUCGCGCCCAAGAGCCUUGUGUGUUAUCAUGUGUGGCAGUCUCCACUUGUUUGUCGCACACUGUAAAAUCUUACACAGUUAAUCAUCUCUGUCGCUGUCUGUCAACCUGACAGCCUGUCUGACUUUUUCCCAAAACAGUCAACCAAUUUCGAGGUUGCACUAUCAAGCGGGUAGGUCACAUGGAUGUGUGUAUGUGUUUUUGUGUCUUCCCUAUUAAUAAUUUAAUUCACACUAGAUCUUACAUAAUUUGUGCGAAAUCCGAGUAAAUAAAAUAACUAGAAUUUAUACAAACUUUGAAGGAAAAAUCUAAAAUUGUGCCAGAUUUAUAAUAUACCUGAGCAUAACAUUUUAUUCUUACUACCUUGAUAAGUGAAAGAUGAAUGGAUGGCUACAUUUGAGUAAAAUAACUAAAGUUGUGAAAAAUGGUUAAUUCAUACUAAAUCCAUGCAUAAAACGAUUUAUACUAGAUUUGGAGAGAAAAAAACAAAAAUUGGAAAAAAUAAUUAGUCCUUUUAAAGUGAAAACAAAAUACAGAAUGUUGUUUAAAUUUGACACACUAGAGAACAGUGUUAAUGACCUGCCAAAUUUGAACGACUUAAAAAAAAAAAAAAGUGUAUAAAAUGAUUAGACUGAAUUUGAGCAAAAAUACUGUAAAUUAAAUUUGAAGAGGGCUACAAUUAUAGUGACAAUCCUUCGCUCCUGUACUCGCUGUGCAUAGUUUUGGGAGACUGUUUUGAUGUGCUCUCAACAAACAAUUGUCUAUUCCGUUGUUCUCUUUUUGGGUGAUGUUCCUAUUUGAUAGUUCAAUCUGCAGAAAAAAACAUAACUUGAAUACAUGAAAAACUUAAAUUGGGAUGCUUAUAGAUACUGUAGCUUCACUGCCAGCCCUCCCAGUUAAAAUGGAUAUUGCACUUCAAUAGCCGCCAAUGGAGGUGAAUGAGUUUUAACGUUGAUUGUGAGUCAUUUUCAUUUCCUCUAAAAGAUGACAGAGAAAUUAAGCCUGACUUUAAAGGGUAGACUUAAAUAGAUGACUUCCCUUCUUUCUCCUCCUCAUUCUUCCCCACUUUGAGUCUCCCGUCUCCUCACUUUGUUGCUUUCUAAUUCUGCUUUCUGCUUUCUCCCCCUUUUAGCCCCCAUCAACCAUCAGCCAUUUUGCUUUUCACCCGCCUCUCUGUCUCUCCUUGGCUGGUGGGCUAGCCAGGAGGCCGUGCACGAUUCAGGCGCGUAAUCUGUUCUUUCUCCCCUUUUUGGAUUUCCAUUUCAAUCACACGUUCACAGCUGGAACCGAGGCUGCUGCGCAUGCAGAUGAGCACGGGCCACUUUUUUCUCCCCGAAAGCGACAGGCAGGAGAAGACCGGGAGGCUGGGGAGUGACAGAUUAUGCUGUGAUGCAAAGCAACUGUUGCUAACGGGUGCAAAUCGUUCGAUUCCACUUCAUUAUCCUUCAGCUUCACACGGAGUCCACAGAGAACGACUGAAAAUGUUGUUUUGGGUCAGCGCAUUUGACACGAGAAGCAAAUCAGACUGACAAUAUGAGGAAAAAGCAGUAGCCCAAACAAAAAAAGUCUAGAUAGCAAGAAGUAGCAAAAUAACAAGCAAACUAGUGUGAAAUCACAAUUUGUCUCUGUUUAACGUUAGAUGAAUUGGACACUUCAUUAGAUCUAGCUCUUCUCUUUCCUUCUUUCCUUUGGAAUAAGUUUGGCAAAAAUGUCAAAGAAAGAGUUCAUUCUUUGAUGCUAGCUGAAAUGAGGACUUGCACGAUAGUGGUUUGAGCUUAGACGUUUUGUGCGACUUACUCUUUCACUUCCACCUUAAACUUAACAGAUGCCACCAGUACUCUGCAAGAGGUAUGUGUUGCAGUCGAUACUUCAUUCUCUGAUGUUAGCUGAAAUCAAGUCUUGCCCCAAGUUUUCAGAAAAUUCCGAAUUAAGAACUCAUUGGCCGUUGGAAUGCUGAGGUUUUGUGGGACUCACUUUGAUUUCCACUGUAAAUGCCAGCUUUACAGAUGUCAUGUCCACCCUGCUGGAAGUGUGUGUUGCGAUAAAGACUUAAUUCUUUCAAGCUGGCUGAAAUGAGGUCUCACACGAUGGUGGUUCCAACUUGGAAGUUCCACACAACUUUCCUUUAAACUGCAAUGGAAACAUCGGCACGGUGGCGGUUUAAACUCUGACUUUAAUGUGACCUGCAAGAUGCCGCAUCUUCACCAAAAACUGAUAAAUGAUGGUGUCAAAGUGGCAUCACCCAGAAAAAAAUCGCUAGAUUAGAAAAUUCUGAAAAUUUUAGUUAGUUUAAUCGUACAAACUAUUUCCAUGUUAGAGGGAUGUGAUUUGAUUAGCGUAUUUAUCUAGAAAAUUAAAAAGCCACAAUUUUGCAAGUAACUGAAAUCCAUCAGAGGAUAGAAAGAAUCACUAAUGACCUGAAGAUUCAUUGUGUUAUUUGGUUCCAAAUCCUUGCCUUAUGCUCCAUGACUCAGGCGGAGGAGCAUAGCUGGUCUCUGUUCUUCUUUGGCUGCGGUCCAACACUUUCCCACAUUUUCUCAAGUCCACUCCGAUGACAAAGCUGGAGUUCUUCAGAGAGCGCAUGACUUUAGCGGCCUGACUCAUAUUUGUGGUGUCAGAGCUCUGCGAAGCAGUCGCGGCUGAGUCAAGUUCUGCCAGUGAAUACUAAGGAUUGUUUUUCGGGGCUUCGGGAAGUUGUAUACUCAAGCUUCAGCCCGCUGCCUCCAUUAUACGCAGCACAGAUACAAACACACUCACACUAAUUGAUGUUAUUGUGGUGGGAGGCCCUUAAUGCACUUCUCCAUGCAGCCAGGCACUCAUGUUGCAAGCGCAUCCCAUUUAUGGGGGGAAAAAAAAAAAAAAAAAAAAUCUGUUGCCAAUUGAUUAUAAUAACAGAUAUUGAUUUAAAUGGACAAGCGCAGCAGCAGAAGUAAUUUGCUCACAGUGAAGCAAUGAGGUGGGAUCAAAUGUGUUGGCCAUUUAAUCUGCUUAUUAAAUCUUUAAUGGCAUUGUCACCAGACACUCUUGGGGCUCCUUUUGUUUGGGAGUUUUCAACAUUUUACAGUAAUACAGAAUGUGAUUUACCAACAAGUACAAUAGCUGAUACAAGAUGUACCUCUAGAAGCUAAGUAUGCUUUUAUUCACAUUUAAUAGGCUCGCAUAAGAAUUUAUUAAUGCUUAAAUCACUCUGUUUACCAAUAUUUGGGUUACAAACAAGCCUAAUUUGGACCCGCAUCAUCAAAUUACAUUACAGUGAACCACUGCAUAUUUGCAUAUCAGCAUUUUAUUUUUUUCUCUGGGAGGGCGGGGCAUCUUGGUGGCAAAACACUGUUGCAGUGAGUUGAGGAGCUUCAUGUAGUGCUUUACUGCCAUUUGUGGCAUUUUGGUGCCAAGGAAUUAUGUUGAAGUGAGGAAUAUGUUGAGGAGCUUAAUGCAGUGCUUUGCUACCACCUUGUGGCAUCCAUAGACAUUAUAAACCUUUUGUGGAAGGUCAAUUACUGACGGAUUUUUGCUAUUCGUGGGAGAGCUUGGUACCGAUCCCCUGCGAAUAGGAGGGGAUCACUGUAUACCUGUCUCCAAAGAUAUCCACCUUCUAUUUUUUUCUUCCCUGCUGCACCGUGCUGCCUCCCACAGGUUAGUUUUGGUACUACGACAGACAUCUAAUUUGGCGAAGGAGUCUAGCAGUCAUCGGUGGUGAUAUCAUUGUGUGUGGUGUGCUGUGUUGCUCAUCUUAAAAAAAUCGGUUAAGAUGGAAAAAUAACAUUGGUAUUUAUUAGUUCUUGGACCCCUCCUGUUCAGCCUGUACAUGCUACCCUUGGGUUAAAUUCUUGAGAACUUUAAUUUGGACUAUCAUAGCUAUGCAGAUGACACACAGUUAUAUCUCGCCGUGUCUCCAGAUGACUACCGUUCAAUUGAGUUGUUGUGUCACUGUCUAAAACAGAUAAAUAUCUGGAUGAGCCAACAUUUUCUUCAAAUUGUUUUUGGCAAUAAAGAAAAGAGGAUUGCUGUUAGUAAAUACCUGGAGUCACUCUCUUUAAAAACCAAAGACCAAGUCCAAAACCUUGGUGUUCUCAUAGAUUCUGACCUGACUUUCAACAGUCAUAUCAAAUCAAUUACUGAAACUGCAUUCUACCAUCUGAAGAACAUAUCCAGAGUGAAUGCUUGCAUGUGUCAAGCAGACCAAGAGAAGCUCAUCCAUGCUUUUAUCUCAAGUAGACUUGACUAUUGUAACGAUCUUCUGACUGGACUCCCUAAAAAGAGCAUUAAACAGCUCCAGCUCAUUCAGAAUGCUGCAGCUCGGGUUCUGACCAGAACAAAGAGGUCAGAGCAUAUUACUCCAAUUCUAAAGUCUUUACACUGGCUUCCAGUCCGCUUUAGAAUAGAUUUUAAAGUUAUUCUACUGGUCUAUAAAUCACUAAACGGUUUAGGUCCUGAAUACAUGAAUGAAAUGCUAAUGGAAUAGAAACCCAGUGGGGCUCUGAGAUCAACAGACUCCGGUCAAAUAGUGGAGCACAGAGUCCAAAGCAAACAUGGUGAAGCAGCAUUUAGCUAUUGUGCUGCACACAAAUGGAAUAAGUUGCCAACAGAAGUGACGUCAGCCUCAAGUGUGCAUGUUUGUAAGUCCAGGUUAGAAACUUUUUUCCCCCCAUGCUUAUUAGAGCAUUUCCACUUUUAAAUGAUAUUUCUUGCACUGCACGCUGUUUUACUUGUAUUUUUCCCCCUCUCUUUGUUUUAAAUGUUUAUAAGCUGGGUUUUUUUUCUUUGUUUUUAAAUGCUUUUAAUCAUGUAAAGCACAUUGAGUUAUCUUGUGUAUGAAAUGCGCUAUAUAAAUAAAUUUGCUUUGUGCAGGCUCCUUGA